RNAcentral lists this non-coding RNA (924 nucleotides) under Batrachyla leptopus (gray wood frog). RNAcentral's name for it is "partial 12S ribosomal RNA". It matches the Rfam family "Bacterial small subunit ribosomal RNA". The record is from RNAcentral. Lineage: Eukaryota; Metazoa; Chordata; Amphibia; Anura; Batrachylidae.
UGGUCCUAGCCUUGAAACCAAUUAUUACUUGAUAUACACAUGCAAGUCUCCGCACCCCUGUGAAAACGCCCUUAAAUCCCUUAUAGGGAUAAGGAGCUGGUAUCAGGCACAAAAACAUGCCCAAGACACCUAGCUAUGCCACACCCACAAGGGAAUUCAGCAGUGAUUAACAUUGAACAUAAGCGACAGCUUGAUUCAGUUAAAGUAAAGAGAGCCGGCAAAUCUGGUGCCAGCCGCCGCGGUUACACCACGUGGCUCAAAUUGACUUCUAUCGGCGUAAAGCGUGAUUUAAGUUAACAUCACAUUAGGAUUAAACUAAAACUAAGCUGUGACACGCUUGUUAUAUAAGAAACCCAAAAACGAAAGUUAUUCUAAAUUAAUCAACUUGAACUCACGACAGCCAGGACACAAACUGGGAUUAGAUACCCCACUAUGCCUCGCCGUAAACUUUUAAUUACACCUCAAUCGCCCGGGAACUACAAGCAAAGCUUAAAACCCAAAGGACUUGACGGUACCCCAUAUCCCCCUAGAGGAGCCUGUCCUAUAAUCGAUAACCCCCGCUUAACCUCACCAUCUUUAGUUUAUCAGCCUGUAUACCUCCGUCGUCAGCUUACCACGUGAGCGAAACUUAGUGAGCUUAAUGCCCAUACACCAAUACGUCAGGUCAAGGUGCAGCAAAUGAAAUGGGAAGAGAUGGGCUACACUUUCUAGUAUAGAAAAUACGAAAGACUACCUAUGAAACUUAGUCAGAAGGCGGAUUUAGCAGUAAAAAGAAACCAGAGCGUUCUUUUUAACUUGGCACUGGGGUGUGUACACACCGCCCGUCACCCUCUUCAAAGCCAAAAAUUAGUACUUAACCAACUAACGCAUAACAGAAGAGGCAAGUCGUAACAUGGUAAGUAUACCGGAAGGUGUGCUUGGAAA